GACGAACGCUGGCGGCGUGCCUAAUACAUGCAAGUAGAACGCUGAAGAGAGGAGCUUGCUCUUCUUGGAUGAGUUGCGAACGGGUGAGUAACGCGUAGGUAACCUGCCUGGUAGCGGGGGAUAACUAUUGGAAACGAUAGCUAAUACCGCAUGAUAUUAAUUGUCGCAUGAUAAUUAAUUGAAAGAUGCAAUUGCAUCACUACCAGAUGGACCUGCGUUGUAUCAGCUAGUUGGUGAGGUAACGGCUCACCAAGGCGACGAUACAUAGCCGACCUGAGAGGGUGAUCGGCCACACUGGGACUGAGACACGGCCCAGACUCCUACGGGAGGCAGCAGUAGGGAAUCUUCGGCAAUGGGGGGAACCCUGACCGAGCAACGCCGCGUGAGUGAAGAAGGUUUUCGGAUCGUAAAGCUCUGUUGUAAGAGAAGAACGGGUGUGAGAGUGGAAAGUUCACACU
This 458-nucleotide ribosomal RNA is filed under the name Streptococcus sanguinis. Its description in RNAcentral is "bacterial SSU rRNA". It matches the Rfam family "Bacterial small subunit ribosomal RNA", at positions 28 to 470 of the family's 1533-position model. The record is from RNAcentral. Lineage: Bacteria; Bacillati; Bacillota; Bacilli; Lactobacillales; Streptococcaceae.